GAUGAACGCUGGCGGCGUGCCUAAUACAUGCAAGUCGAGCGAACAGACGAGGAGCUUGCUCCUCUGACGUUAGCGGCGGACGGGUGAGUAACACGUGGAUAACCUACCUAUAAGACUGGGAUAACUUCGGGAAACCGGAGCUAAUACCGGAUAAUAUAUUGAACCGCAUGGUUCAAUAGUGAAAGACGGUUUUGCUGUCACUUAUAGAUGGAUCCGCGCCGCAUUAGCUAGUUGGUAAGGUAACGGCUUACCAAGGCAACGAUGCGUAGCCGACCUGAGAGGGUGAUCGGGCACACUGGAACUGAGACACGGUCCAGACUCCUACGGGAGGCAGCAGUAGGGAAUCUUCCGCAAUGGGCGAAAGCCUGACGGAGCAACGCCGCGUGAGUGAUGAUGGUCUUCGGAUCGUAAAACUCUGUUAUUAGGGAAGAACAAAUGUGUAAGUAACUAUGCACGUCUUGACGGUACCUAAUCAGAAAGCCACGGCUAACUACGUG
Molecule: ribosomal RNA, 497 nt
Filed under: uncultured bacterium
Lineage: Bacteria
Description: partial 16S ribosomal RNA
Rfam family: Bacterial small subunit ribosomal RNA
Source: RNAcentral